ACGCUAAAGCUUCCGUCCCGCCGCCCCCGCUCCGAGAGCUCCAAGUUAUGGCUCAGGAUGAACGCUGGCGGCGUGCUUAACACAUGCAAGUCGAACGAUGACCCGGUGCUUGCAUCGGUGAUUAGUGGCGAACGGGUGAGUAACACGUGAGUAACCUGCCCUUAACUCUGGGGUAAGCCUGGGAAACUGGGUCUAAUACCGGAUAUGACUCCUCAUCGCAUGGUGGGGGGUGGAAAAGCUUUUUUGUGGUUUUGGAUGGACUCGCGGCCUAUCAGCUUGUUGGUGAGGUAAUGGCUUACCAAGGCGACGACGGGUAGCCGGCCUGAGAGGGUGACCGGCCACACUGGGACUGAGACACGGCCCAGACUCCUACGGGAGGCAGCAGUGGGGAAUAUUACACAAUGGGCGGAAGCCUGAUGCAGCGACGCCGCGUGAGGGAUGACGGCCUUCGGGUUGUAAACCUCUUUCAGUAGGGAAGAAGCGUAAGUGACGGUACCUGCAGAAGAAGCGCCGGCUAACUACGUGCCAGCAGCCGCGGUAAUACGUAGGGCGCAAGCGUUAUCCGGAAUUUAUUGGGCGUAAAGAGCUCGUAGGCGGUUUGUCGCGUCUGCCGUGAAAGUCCGGGGCUCAACUCCGGAUCUGCGGUGGGUACGGGCAGACUAGAGUGAUGUAGGGGAGACUGGAAUUCCUGGUGUAGCGGUGAAAUGCGCAGAUAUCAGGAGGAACACCGAUGGCGAAGGCAGGUCUCUGGGCAUUAACUGACGCUGAGGAGCGAAAGCAUGGGGAGCGAACAGGAUUAGAUACCCUGGUAGUCCAUGCCGUAAACGUUGGGCACUAGGUGUGGGGGACAUUCCACGUUUUCCGCGCCGUAGCUAACGCAUUAACGACCCGCCUGGGGAGUACGCCCGCAAGGCAAGAACUCAGGAGGAAUGACGG
RNAcentral lists this ribosomal RNA (936 nucleotides) under uncultured bacterium. Its description in RNAcentral is "bacterial SSU rRNA". It matches the Rfam family "Bacterial small subunit ribosomal RNA", at positions 1 to 916 of the family's 1533-position model. The record is from RNAcentral.